RNAcentral lists this ribosomal RNA (254 nucleotides) under uncultured bacterium. RNAcentral's name for it is "partial 16S ribosomal RNA". It matches the Rfam family "Bacterial small subunit ribosomal RNA", at positions 524 to 776 of the family's 1533-position model. The record is from RNAcentral.
UACGGAGGGGGCUAGCGUUGUUCGGAAUUACUGGGCGUAAAGCGUACGUAGGCGGCUUUGUAAGUUAGAGGUGAAAGCCCGGAGCUCAACUCCGGAAUUGCCUUUAAGACUGCAUCGCUAGAAUCAUGGAGAGGUGAGUGGAAUUCCGAGUGUAGAGGUGAAAAUUCGUAGAUAUUCGGAAGAACACCAGUGGCGAAGGCGACUCACUGGACAUGUAUUGACGCUGAGGUGCGAAAGCGUGGGGAGCAAACAGG